Pteropus alecto (black flying fox) is the source of this 73-nucleotide non-coding RNA. The record is from Rfam. NCBI's taxonomy places the organism in Eukaryota, Metazoa, Chordata, Mammalia, Chiroptera, Pteropodidae.
GGUUCCAUAGUGUAGCGGUUAGUAUGUCUGCUUUACACACAGAAGGUCCGGGGUUCAUGCCCAAGUGGAGCCA